CAGGACGAACGCUGGCGGCGUGCCUAACACAUGCAAGUCGAGCGAUGAAAUCCUUCGGGAUGGAUUAGCGGCGGACGGGUGAGUAACACGUGGGUAACCUGCCUUGUAGAGGGGGAUAGCCUUCCGAAAGGAAGAUUAAUACCGCAUAACAUCUUUUUUAUCGCAUGGUAGAAAGAUCAAAGGAGCAAUCUGCUACAAGAUGGACCCGCGGCGCAUUAGCUAGUUGGUGAGGUAACGGCUCACCAAGGCGACGAUGCGUAGCCGACCUGAGAGGGUGAUCGGCCACAUUGGAACUGAGACACGGUCCAGACUCCUACGGGAGGCAGCAGUGGGGAAUAUUGCGCAAUAGGGGGGAAACCCUGACGCAGCAACGCCGCGUGAAUGAAGAAGGCCUUAGGGUUGUAAAGUUCUGUUUACGGGGACGAUAAUGACGGUACCCGUGGAGGAAGCCACGGCUAACUACGUGCCAGCCGCCGC
RNAcentral lists this ribosomal RNA (477 nucleotides) under uncultured bacterium. RNAcentral describes it as "bacterial SSU rRNA". It matches the Rfam family "Bacterial small subunit ribosomal RNA", at positions 25 to 518 of the family's 1533-position model. The record is from RNAcentral.